CAAGAGCGUAUGUAAAAGUUGUUGCAGUUAAAAAGCUCGUAGUUGAACCUUGGGUUUGGUUGGCCGGUCCGCUUUUUUGCGAGUACUGGAUUCAACCGAGCCUUUCCUUCUGGCUAACCAGUCGUUUCGGCGGCUGGCGAACCAGGAUUUUUACUUUGAGAAAAUUAGAGUGUUCAAAGCAGGCAUUAGCUUGAAUAUAUUAGUAUGGAAUAAUAGAAUAGGACGUUAUGGUUCUAUUUUGUUGGUUUCUAGGACCAUCGUAAUGAUUAAUAGGGACGGUCGGGGGCAUCAGUAUUCAGUUGUCAGAGGUGAAAUUCUUGGAUUUACUGAAGACUAACUACUGCGAAAGCAUUUGCCAAGGACGUUUUCAUUAA
Molecule: ribosomal RNA, 374 nt
Filed under: uncultured eukaryote
Lineage: Eukaryota
Description: partial 18S ribosomal RNA
Rfam family: Eukaryotic small subunit ribosomal RNA
Source: RNAcentral